Lepidothrix coronata (blue-crowned manakin) is the source of this 360-nucleotide long non-coding RNA. RefSeq lists it as uncharacterized. The record is from RefSeq and is a predicted model, not a curated record. NCBI's taxonomy places the organism in Eukaryota, Metazoa, Chordata, Aves, Passeriformes, Pipridae. The transcript has 4 exons.
UCCUCCCCCCAACCCCCCGUUGGCGCAGAUCCAGCCGGAUCUCCGGGAGCUCAUGGAGACCAUGAACCGCAUGAGCCACCUGCCCCCCGACUUCGAGGGCAGGCAGAAGGUCAACCAGUGGCUGCAGACGCUCAGCGGGAUGUCGGCCUCGGACGAGCUGGACGAUUCCCAGGUCCGGCAGAUGCUCUUCGACCUGGAGUCCGCCUACAACGCCUUCAACCGCUUCCUGCACUCCUGAGACCCUCCCAUCCCUCCCAGUCCAAACCAGUCCCUCCCAUCCCUCCCAGUCCCUCCCAGUCCCUGCUGGUGCGGGAGGAAAGCCGGGACAAUAAACGGGGGGCGGCGGAUCCCGAAAAAUCA